Molecule: long non-coding RNA, 419 nt
Filed under: Numida meleagris (helmeted guineafowl)
Lineage: Eukaryota; Metazoa; Chordata; Aves; Galliformes; Numididae
Description: lncRNA (ENSNMEG00000012950.1)
Source: RNAcentral
ACAGAAUGGUUUGGGUUGGAAGGGGCCCUUAAGAUCAUGCGGUUCCAACCCCUCCCUGUAGGCAGGGACACCUCCCACCAGCCCAGGUUGCUCUCAGCCCCAUCCAGCCUGGCCCUGAGCGCUUCCAGGGAGGGGGCACCCGCAGCCUCGCUGAGCAACCUGUCCCAGUGCCUCACCACCCUCACGGCUGAAGAGCCCCAUCUCCCUCAGCCUGUCCCCUUUGGAGAGGUGCUCCAUCCCCCGAUCAUCCUCGUGGCCCUCCUCAGGACCCCCCCCCAACAGCUCCACGUCCUUCUCGCGCCGGGGACCCCAGGCCUGGACGCUGCGCUCCAGGGCACCUCGUGGAUUUCCCGGGGCACCAGCCGCAGCUCCUGCUCUUUGCACCACCUUGGAGGAUGGCACCAGAGCGAGGGGUCAUC